RNAcentral lists this ribosomal RNA (441 nucleotides) under uncultured bacterium. RNAcentral's name for it is "partial 16S ribosomal RNA". It matches the Rfam family "Bacterial small subunit ribosomal RNA", at positions 338 to 795 of the family's 1533-position model. The record is from RNAcentral.
CCUACGGGUGGCAGCAGUAGGGAAUUUUGCGCAAUGGGGGAAACCCUGACGCAGCAACGCCGCGUGAUCGAUGAAGUCCUUCGGGGUGUAAAGCUCUGUCAGUGGGGAAGAAAAGUGACGGUACCCACAGAGGAAGCACCGGCUAACUCCGUGCUAGCAGCCGCGGUACUACGGAGGGUCCAGGGGUUGUCCGGAGUACUUGGGGGUAAAGGGUUGGUAGGGGGGACGUUAGGUCUGGUGUUAAAGGCGGAGGCCCAACUGCGGUAGGGCGUUGGAUACUGGCGGGCUUGAAUGCGGUGGAGGUAAAGGGAAUUCCUGGUGUAGCGGUGAAAUGCGUAGAUAUCAGGAGGAACACCGGUGGCGAAAGCGCCUUACUGGACCGUAAUUGACACUGAGGAACGAAAGCCUGGGUAGCAAAUAGGAUUAGAUACCCGUGUAGUC